GAGUUUGAUCCUGGCUCAGAACGAACGCUGGCGGCAUGCCUAACACAUGCAAGUCGAACGAAGGCUUCGGCCUUAGUGGCGCACGGGUGCGUAACGCGUGGGAAUCUGCCCUUGGGUUCGGAAUAACAGUGAGAAAUUACUGCUAAUACCGGAUGAUGACUUCGGUCCAAAGAUUUAUCGCCCAAGGAUGAGCCCGCGUAAGAUUAGCUAGUUGGUGAGGUAAAGGCUCACCAAGGCGACGAUCUUUAGCUGGUCUGAGAGGAUGAUCAGCCACACUGGGACUGAGACACGGCCCAGACUCCUACGGGAGGCAGCAGUGGGGAAUAUUGGACAAUGGGCGAAAGCCUGAUCCAGCAAUGCCGCGUGAGUGAUGAAGGCCUUAGGGUUGUAAAGCUCUUUUACCAGGGAUGAUAAUGACAGUACCUGGAGAAUAAGCUCCGGCUAACUCCGUGCCAGCAGCCGCGGUA
Molecule: ribosomal RNA, 467 nt
Filed under: uncultured Legionella sp.
Lineage: Bacteria; Pseudomonadati; Pseudomonadota; Gammaproteobacteria; Legionellales; Legionellaceae
Description: bacterial SSU rRNA
Rfam family: Bacterial small subunit ribosomal RNA
Source: RNAcentral